GGAGAAGUACCCAAGUUCGGCUGAAGGGGCUCCCCUGCUAAGGGAGUAGACCGGGAAUUACCGGUGCGAGGGUUCAAAUCCCUCCUUCUCCGCCA
RNAcentral lists this transfer RNA (95 nucleotides) under Clostridia bacterium. RNAcentral describes it as "tRNA-Ser". It matches the Rfam family "tRNA". From Rfam's summary of the family: Transfer RNA (tRNA) molecules are approximately 80 nucleotides in length. Their secondary structure includes four short double-helical elements and three loops (D, anti-codon, and T loops). The record is from RNAcentral. Lineage: Bacteria; Bacillati; Bacillota; Clostridia.